Nematostella vectensis (starlet sea anemone) is the source of this 548-nucleotide long non-coding RNA. RefSeq lists it as uncharacterized. Lineage: Eukaryota; Metazoa; Cnidaria; Anthozoa; Actiniaria; Edwardsiidae. The transcript is spliced from 3 exons. The record is from RefSeq and is a predicted model, not a curated record.
CUCCGAGGGGAUCGCGCAAUAACAGAACUUGGUUUAUAUCUUUCAUAAAGAGGUGUGCAAAACGAUAAGACUCAAAUGCCGAACGCCAAGAAAGUCUGGAAAACGACCAAAGCGAAAGUGAAAGGUGUCCUUCCUGGGAAAAGCAAGAAAGAUGGCGGCAAAGAGAAAGGGAAGGGUAAAGGAACCUUGGAAGAAAGAGCAAUGAAGGCGGCGCGGAAGAUGGCGAUGAAGCAGGCAAUGGGGGGUGCCGGUGUCUAGCACGUCACGUGAAACCACGAAAGUUCACCGCUGACCUUUUGUUUGCUUAUACUGGGAUUUUAGAGAAACUCAUCAAGGGUAGUGGAGGAGUUGGGAUAUGGUUUUGAUUGUGUUAAUAUAUUUAUUAUGUAAAUAUUAUUUAAUGUACGCAAUGAGGUUGUAAUAAGGCAGCAAAUUACAUCACUCACCCUUUAUACGCCUUGAUUAUGUGGGUGUUUGUGUUUUUAUUUUCUUGGAUAAAAUCGGUUUUUACGUGUUGCAUUAAGUAAAAUAAAAAUCCAAGGAUUAAA